Molecule: long non-coding RNA, 847 nt
Filed under: Capra hircus (goat)
Lineage: Eukaryota; Metazoa; Chordata; Mammalia; Artiodactyla; Bovidae
Description: lncRNA (ENSCHIG00000000755.1)
Source: RNAcentral
AGGCAGGGAUGGUUCACUUUCACCAAUUUCAUUGACGGCCUUGACACGGAACUCAUACAUUUGGUGUUCAUCGAGAUCUUCAACAAGAAAAGAUGUGGUUGGGCAGAGGCGCUUGUUAACUCUUUCAAAGUCAGGUUUGUCAUGACGCCGUUUUUCAAUGAUGUAGCCUUGGAUGGGGCAGCCGCCAUUACUGCGGGGCUCUUUCCAGUCAAGGGUGAUGGUGGACUUGGUCCUUUCUGUAUAUGUGAGCCUCUCAGGAGAUGUUGGAGGACCUUUAACCAGAGCAGACAUUUUGAGAUGGGCUGUUACAGUGAGAAGUGGGUCAACUGCAAGAAUUGGUCCUAUUUCAACAGGAGGGCCACAGCCAAACUUGUUCUUGGCAAUCACACGGAACAUGUAUUCUUGUCCCUCAAGGAGACCUGUGAUGUCACAUUUAGAUCUCUCAGUCUCUAUUGGUUGCCUCCAAGUGUGCAUCUUAGCAUCCUUUCUUUCAAUAAUGAAGCCUGUGAUGUCACUUCCUCCAUCAUCUUCUGGAUCAGACCAGCGGCCCUUCACCUGCAGCGUUGACAGCACUCACUCGAAGUUUGUAAUCGGCACCCUCUCGGAUUUCUCUGACCGUGUACUCACGGGGCUUGAUCAUCUUCUCUGUGCAGCGGGACCAUUCAUUUGUGCCAACCAGCUGCUUAUAGACAUAGUAGCCAACAAUUUCCCCACCACCAUUGAAAGCUGGGGGUUCCCAGGCCAGUUCAAUCGUCGUGGAACUUGUGUCAGUGACUCUGGGGACAGGUGGCCCAGGUGGAGCUGGAAUGAAUGCAUACACAGAAAUCAAAACUCACUGAGGGUUUGA